RNAcentral lists this ribosomal RNA (244 nucleotides) under uncultured Latescibacterota bacterium. RNAcentral's name for it is "uncultured Latescibacteria bacterium partial 16S ribosomal RNA". It matches the Rfam family "Bacterial small subunit ribosomal RNA", at positions 1141 to 1382 of the family's 1533-position model. Lineage: Bacteria; Pseudomonadati; Candidatus Latescibacterota. The record is from RNAcentral.
CUGGGAGACUGCCGGUGAUAAACCGGAGGAAGGCGGGGAUGACGUCAAGUCCUCAUGGCCCUUACAUCCCGGGCUACACACGUGCUACAAUGGCAGGUACAGAGGGCUGCGAAGCCGCGAGGUGGAGCGAAUCCCCAGAAAAACCUGUCUCAGUCCGGAUUGAAGUCUGCAACUCGACUUCAUGAAGGCGGAAUCGCUAGUAACCGCGAAUCAGCAGGUCGCGGUGAAUACGUUCCCGGGCCUU